Cricetulus griseus (Chinese hamster) is the source of this 110-nucleotide ribosomal RNA. NCBI's taxonomy places the organism in Eukaryota, Metazoa, Chordata, Mammalia, Rodentia, Cricetidae. The record is from Ensembl.
GUGUGUGCCCAGUCUCAUUUAAGCUCUUCUCAGAAGCUAAACAUGGCUGGGCCUAGUUAGUACUCAGAUAUUAGAAAGCAUAAAGGACCCGGGCAUUGGUGGCACACGCC